RNAcentral lists this long non-coding RNA (1364 nucleotides) under Equus caballus (horse). RNAcentral's name for it is "lncRNA (ENSECAG00000048457.1)". The record is from RNAcentral. Lineage: Eukaryota; Metazoa; Chordata; Mammalia; Perissodactyla; Equidae.
CUUUCUUCAUCUGGGGUUUUGAAAACAAAUCCUGAAGCCUCACGUGAGGGAGAUUAUUUCUGUUGGGUCACAGUAACCUUGUUGCUUGUACCUUCACAGUUUGUGACUUUCUCAGACCUCAUCACGGCGGGUGAGGACAGUUCCCUUCUGUUAAUAGAGCGAAUAGUGGGCAUGGGGUAGGGCACUGGUCGAGGAGGACAGCCCAGGACCUACACACAUCCACUGUUUCCUUUGGCAAAAUGAGGUUCCUGACCCCAGCAUGGGGAAUUAUUGGAAUCGUCAAAUGGGAGAGUUCAGAGCGUUGAAAGGACUUGCUCAAGGUGGGAGCUGGUGGUGCAAAAAGGGAGCAAUCCCAGUGCAACACCUUUCACAUAGUGCCUACCACGUACCCGCCCCAGGUCCCACACGGAGGUGCAGAGAGGCGGAGGAAACUGCACAGGAGGAAGGAGAAAAGGACCACUCUGAGAGAGGACAGGAGAGAGGAAGGCAGCCCCAGAAGCAAGAGCCUAUUCUUCUGACCCUAAACUGAGAUAUGCUGAGUAACUGCAAAAGGUAACUUGAGAACGGCUGCUCCUGGCUAUUAAGGUCAUAGUCCAGCAAACCCUUAACACGUGCCCCAAAAAAGACCUUAAGACCAACUUCCCAGGGAUUCCGGGACCACCUCACCACUUGCCCGAGAGGAGAACACCCAAACUGAACCCUCCAUCUCCAGGCACAUGUUAAACUACAUUUUCCAGCCCUCUUGCUUUGAGGCUGGCCAUGUCACUGAGUUCUGGCAAUGAAACGGGCACAGAAGUGAUUUUUGUCACUUUCAGGCCUGAUCCAUAAAAACCUCGAUCCGUCAUCCCCUUUUCCAUCAUCCCUAUCUGGAUGACCCAGGGCACCACGAAGCCAUGUGAUGAAGAUGGGGAGAGCUUGGUCCCUGAAUGAUUACAUGGAGCAGAGCACCCUUCACCCUGCCCGCUGCCACCUACACUGAACUAUGACUUGGAUGAAAUAAACCUUCCCUGUGUUAAUCCGGUGAGAGUUUAGCUUAUCCUGACUAACAGCACCAUGAAGGUCUGAAGCCAAGUCCAUCAAACUCUGAAGACCAUCCUCUCUCAUGAAGCCAUAUUGCCACACAAUAUAGCAGAAAUAUAAAAGUCAAACUAUAAAAUAUUAUCUAAUUCCGCAGCUCACCUCUUCCCUGCCAUACCUCUUCCACGACCAAGAACUAGAUUCCUAAAGAUUUUCAAGGAAAUUGGGAAAACGAAAACAAAAUCAAGCAAGUAAUCAACAAAUACUUGUUGACUGCAUACUGCCUGCUGAGCAUAGACAAAACUACUUCUGUUGUUACCACACGUCUGGAGAAAUCCUUUCAGUAU